This 439-nucleotide ribosomal RNA is filed under the name uncultured bacterium. RNAcentral's name for it is "bacterial SSU rRNA". It matches the Rfam family "Bacterial small subunit ribosomal RNA", at positions 351 to 782 of the family's 1533-position model. The record is from RNAcentral.
GCAGUGGGGAAUUUUGGACAAUGGGCGCAAGCCUGAUCCAGCCAUGCCGCGUGCAGGAUGAAGGCCUUCGGGUUGUAAACUGCUUUUGUACGGAACGAAAAGGUCUUUUUUAAUAAAGAGGGCCCAUGACGGUACCGUAAGAAUAAGCACCGGCUAACUACGUGCCAGCAGCCGCGGUAAUACGUAGGGUGCAAGCGUUAAUCGGAAUUACUGGGCGUAAAGCGUGCGCAGGCGGUAAUGUAAGACAGAUGUGAAAUCCCCGGGCUCAACCUGGGAACUGCAUUUGUGACUGCAUUGCUGGAGUGCGGCAGAGGGGGAUGGAAUUCCGCGUGUAGCAGUGAAAUGCGUAGAUAUGCGGAGGAACACCGAUGGCGAAGGCAAUCCCCUGGGCCUGCACUGACGCUCAUGCACGAAAGCGUGGGGAGCAAACAGGAUUAGA